CCGGUAGUCGUACGCGGUGUGCGUAGGUUUGCACGGGUAGCCGUAGACGUUUGAGCUUGCUCCUCUGAUUUAGCGGCGGAGGGGUGAGUAACACGUGGGCAACCUGCCCUGCAGACUGGGAUAACUUCGGGAAACCGGAGCUAAUACCGGAUAAUCCAUUUUACUUCAUGGUGAAAUGUUGAAAGGCGCUUUCGCGCCACUGCAGGAUGGGCCCGCGGUGCAUUAGCUAGUUGGUGGGGUAACGGCCUACCAAGGCGACGAUGCAUAGCCGACCUGAGAGGGUGAUCGGCCACAUUGGGACUGAGACACGGCCCAAACUCCUACGGGAGGCAGCAGUAGGGAAUCUUCCACAAUGGACGAAAGUCUGAUGGAGCAGCGCCGCGUGAGUGAUGAAGGUUUUCGGAUCGUAAAACUCUGUUGUAAGGGAAGAACAAGUACGUUAGGAAAUGAACGUACCGUGACGGUACCUUAUAAAACA
RNAcentral lists this ribosomal RNA (478 nucleotides) under Bacillus sp. HPC 1303. RNAcentral describes it as "bacterial SSU rRNA". It matches the Rfam family "Bacterial small subunit ribosomal RNA", at positions 28 to 489 of the family's 1533-position model. The record is from RNAcentral. Lineage: Bacteria; Bacillati; Bacillota; Bacilli; Caryophanales; Bacillaceae.